Long non-coding RNA from Meriones unguiculatus (Mongolian gerbil), 2419 nucleotides. RefSeq lists it as uncharacterized. NCBI's taxonomy places the organism in Eukaryota, Metazoa, Chordata, Mammalia, Rodentia, Muridae. The record is from RefSeq and is a predicted model, not a curated record. The transcript has 3 exons.
GCGUCUCAGCUGGGGGUGGGGCCUUGUGAGCUCCUCCCCCUCCAAGGCAGGAAUGUUGACCGCCUUGAUUUUGUGCAGAUGACCCCAGCUGCCAGGAGUUCAUGGGUGCGACAGCCACGUCGCGUCCAGAAGACGGCGUCUCACGGCGCCCUUCCCCAUCCUCUUGGCUCCUUUAAACCUGCUACCAUCUCUCCGCGCUAGUUCCCGAGCCUUGGGGGAGGGGCGGAUUCACCGUGUGCGGGUCUCGGCCUUAACUGCUGACCACUGCAACAGGAAAGCUUCUUCGGGCGAGGCUGAGAGCAGCAGUAAUCGAGGGACGUAAACAAACACGCAGGAGGCAGUUGGAGAGCCUGAGCAUUUAGAAGAAAACAAAGUCAGAGGAUUCCCUAGAAGCUGUGACCUCCCCAACUGGGGACUUUCGAAGAGGGCACCAGAUCCCAUUACAGACGGUUAUGAGCCACCGCGUAGUUGCUGGGAACUCAGGACCUUUGGAAGAGCAGACAUCCCGGAGAGCCCAUUGGGGCGGAUGAUGAGGUUCUGCAAAAACAACUCCCAAACCAAGAGAAGGAGGAGGAAAUCGAAGUCCCACAGUCCUGCUUCGGAGGCUGGGACAGCCCUCGGGUCGUGAGUGAUUGAGAUGUAUGUUCAAGCUCAAAGCAUGUGCAGACUCCCAGUCUGAGGGUCCUGGCUCGGAAGAGGGACCAGAGACAGGGAGAGUGAUCUGGGUGAGUGCAAGAAACCUCUGGUAGAACUAAGGGCCUGGUCUGGAGGAUUCCUGCAUAAGGCAUGAGGUUGCCAGCAUGGACUCUGGGAACAACCUCAUUGGGAGUUUACACGGAUCCAUCAGUAGCCAAAGGGCCUCCGUGAUGCUUAGUGAUGGUUUCCGAGGGCUUUUCCCGCAGGAAGGGAAGGCUGAAGCCUCGGAUCAAGACAUCACGACACAAGCUAGGCAAGCCUAGCCUUCCUUUUGCAGAAAGGAGAAGAAUAAAAAUAUCCGAGACCAGUAAGAAUAAGCUACCCAGGACCAGAGAGAUGGUCCUGGUUCAACAGUUAAGAGCACUAACUACUCUUCUGGAGGACCCAAGUUCGAGUCCCAACACCCAUAACCAUCUAGAACUCCAGUUCCUGGGGAUCCAACAGCCUCUUCUGGCUUUCUUGUGCACCAGGUACACAAGUGGUACACAGACAGACAUAAAGGGAAAACAUGCAUUCACAUAAAAUAAACUACUUGUUUUUUUAAUUAAUAAGUUUGCACCAGGUAGUGGUGGUACACGCCUUUAAUCCCAGCACAGGGGGAUCUCUGUGAGUUCAAGGCCAGCCUGGUCUACAAAGAGAGUUCCAGGACAGCCAGGGCUACAGAGAGAAACCCUGUUUAAAACAACAACAACAACAAAAAAAAAAAAGUCCUCUGUGACACAUACUCCUGGGGCACAUGGUCCUAUAUUGGGGAGACAAACCUCAAACAAAAGAGAAAAAGAAACAGCAGGUGAAGAUUGGUAGGUCAGUGUCUCACCAGGUAAGUUAAGGAUCAGAGCCUCCUGUCAACCUUUCCAAUCCAGAAGUCUGGGCCCUCUAAUUGAAAAUCCAUACGUGGGUGGUGGCUGGUCAUUUGGAUCGAUUCCUUAGGCCUCAGCUCCAUACCUGGCCCAAGCCAACGUUAACAGUGAAUAUUCUCUUCUCUGGUGGUGAUAAGACACGCCACCAUGGGUGGUUUCUUAGAAAGAAACAUCUACCCUACACUGUAUAAUGGCAGCUUUUUUUCAUUUGUUUUUUUUAUAUGCAUUGGUGUUUUGCCUGCAUGUGUGCCCGUGUGAGGGCCUAGGAUCCCCUAGAACUGGAGUUACAAGUGCAAACUGCCUUGCAGGUGCUGGGAAUUGAACCCUGGUCUUCUGGAAGAGCAGCCAGUACUCUUACCGCUGAGCCGUAUCUUCAGCCCCUAAUGAAGACAAAUUUUAAAAAAAUUCCACAACCAACAUCCCACAUGGGAUAAUAAUAAUAAUGAGGUCCACCAUCCACUGAGGCAUCUUGCCAGCAUCUUCAAGGUUUGGUCAUAAGCGAGAUGGGAGCGUCAAUACCAGAGUCCUAUAACGCGGAUAGGCCUUAAACAGUGCACACAGGGAAAAGGGAGGCCUGCGGGGUUCCAGGAAGGCUGAAGGAUGGAUGAGAGUGCGCUCAGGUGAGACACAGAGCCGCUGGGCGAGGGAUGCUGAAAUCACACGUUGUAUCUUCGCUGGCCUGACACUGAGACAGUUAGAAGAUCGGAGUGUGGACAGACUGAAAUUCCAGAGAGAAGGGAAGUGGUGAAUGGAGGGAGAAAGAACAACGAUACUAUUCUUGACUCGAGGACGAAAAGGCAUUAGUUAACGUCAAUUGUCAUCUAACUUUGCAAUCACAGGGCUAAUGUGGAAAGAUUUUUGGC